RNAcentral lists this ribosomal RNA (303 nucleotides) under uncultured bacterium. Its description in RNAcentral is "partial 16S ribosomal RNA". It matches the Rfam family "Bacterial small subunit ribosomal RNA", at positions 510 to 809 of the family's 1533-position model. The record is from RNAcentral.
AGCAGUCGCGCGGGAAUACGUAGGUCCCGAGCGUUGUCCGGAUUUAUUGGGCGUAAAGCGAGCGCAGGCGGUUAGAUAAGUCUGAAGUUAAAGGCUGUGGCUUAACCAUAGUACGCUUUGGAAACUGUUUAACUUGAGUGCAGAAGGGGAGAGUGGAAUUCCAUGUGUAGCGGUGAAAUGCGUAGAUAUAUGGAGGAACACCGGUGGCGAAAGCGGCUCUCUGGUCUGUAACUGACGCUGAGGCUCGAAAGCGUGGGGAGCAAACAGGAUUAGAUACCCCAGUAGUCCCUGUCUCUUAUACAC